AUACGGAGGGUCCAAGCGUUAUCCGGAAUCAUUGGGUUUAAAGGGUGCGCAGGCGGUUUAUUAAGUCAGUGGUGAAAUCUCGGGGCUCAACUCCGAAACUGCCAUUGAUACUGAUAAACUUGAGUUCAGUUGGAGUAGGCGGAAUGUGUAGUGUAGCGGUGAAAUGCUUAGAUAUUACACAGAACACCGAUAGCGAAGGCAGCUUACUAAACUGAUACUGACGCUGAGGCACGAAAGCGUGGGUAGCAAACGGGAUUAGAAACCCCAGUAGUCC
This 274-nucleotide ribosomal RNA is filed under the name uncultured bacterium. Its description in RNAcentral is "partial 16S ribosomal RNA". It matches the Rfam family "Bacterial small subunit ribosomal RNA", at positions 523 to 796 of the family's 1533-position model. The record is from RNAcentral.